This 73-nucleotide transfer RNA is filed under the name Bos taurus (domestic cattle). It matches the Rfam family "tRNA". Rfam says of the family: Transfer RNA (tRNA) molecules are approximately 80 nucleotides in length. RNAcentral also lists the same sequence under 5 other names. Lineage: Eukaryota; Metazoa; Chordata; Mammalia; Artiodactyla; Bovidae. The record is from Rfam by way of RNAcentral.
UCCCUGGUAGCCCAGUAGUUAGGACUUUGUGCCUUCACUGCUGCGGGCCCAGGUUCAAUCCCUGGUCAGGGAA